This is a small nuclear RNA of Lemur catta (Ring-tailed lemur), 105 nucleotides long. NCBI's taxonomy places the organism in Eukaryota, Metazoa, Chordata, Mammalia, Primates, Lemuridae. The record is from RefSeq and is a predicted model, not a curated record.
GUGCUCGCUUCAGCAGUAUGUAUGCCAAAAUUGGAAUGAUACAGACAAGAUUAGCAUGGCCCCUGCUCAAGGAAGAUACAAAUUCAUGAAGUGUUCCAUAUUUUU